CCCUUAGAUGUCCUGGGCCGCACGCGCGCUACACUGAUGCAUGCAACGAGUCGUUUCAAGCCUGGGCCGAGAGGCCCGGGUAAUCUGUUGAACGUGCAUCGUGAUAGGGAUAGAUCAUUGCAAUUAUUGAUCUUGAACGAGGAAUUCCUAGUAAACGCGAGUCAUCAGCUCGUAUUGAUUACGUCCCUGCCCUUUGUACACACCGCCCGUCGCUCCUACCGAUUGAAUGCUCAGGUGAGCCAUUCGGACUUUCAUCAUGCUGGUUUCCAGUUUUGAUGAAGGAAAGUCUUGCGAACCUUAUCAUUUAGAGGAAGGAGAAGUCGUAACA
RNAcentral lists this ribosomal RNA (328 nucleotides) under uncultured eukaryote. Its description in RNAcentral is "partial 18S ribosomal RNA". It matches the Rfam family "Eukaryotic small subunit ribosomal RNA", at positions 1470 to 1796 of the family's 1831-position model. The record is from RNAcentral.